CAAUAGCGUAUAUUAAAGUUGUUGCAGUUAAAAAGCUCGUAGUUGGAUUUCUGGCAGGAGCGACCGGUCACACACUCUGUGUGUGAACUUGCGUUGUCUCUGGCCAUCCUUGGGAAGAUCCUGUUUGGCAUUAAGUUGUCGGGCAGGGGAUACCCAUCGUUUACUGUGAAAAAAUUAGAGUGUUUAAAGCAGGCUUAUGCCGUUGAAUAUAUUAGCAUGGAAUAAUAAGAUAGGACUUCGGAACUAUUUUGUUGGUUUGCGUUACGAAGUAAUGAUUAAUAGGGACAGUUGGGGUAUUCGUAUUUCGUUGUCAGAGGUGAAAUUCUUGGAUUUCCGAAAGACGAACUACUGCGGAAGCAUUUACCAAGGAUGUUUUCAUUAA
This 382-nucleotide ribosomal RNA is filed under the name uncultured eukaryote. Its description in RNAcentral is "partial 18S ribosomal RNA". It matches the Rfam family "Eukaryotic small subunit ribosomal RNA", at positions 592 to 976 of the family's 1831-position model. The record is from RNAcentral.